UACGUAUGAUAGGACCGCAGUUAUGCAU
RNAcentral lists this small RNA (28 nucleotides) under Bombyx mori (domestic silkworm). Its description in RNAcentral is "ovarian small RNA-21159". Lineage: Eukaryota; Metazoa; Arthropoda; Insecta; Lepidoptera; Bombycidae. The record is from RNAcentral.